This 465-nucleotide ribosomal RNA is filed under the name Vreelandella stevensii. Its description in RNAcentral is "partial 16S ribosomal RNA". It matches the Rfam family "Bacterial small subunit ribosomal RNA", at positions 338 to 795 of the family's 1533-position model. The record is from RNAcentral. Lineage: Bacteria; Pseudomonadati; Pseudomonadota; Gammaproteobacteria; Oceanospirillales; Halomonadaceae.
CCUACGGGUGGCAGCAGUGGGGAAUAUUGGACAAUGGGGGGAACCCUGAUCCAGCCAUGCCGCGUGUGUGAAGAAGGCCCUCGGGUUGUAAAGCACUUUCAGUGAGGAAGAACGCCUGGUGGUUAAUACCCAUCAGGAAAGACAUCACUCACAGAAGAAGCACCGGCUAACUCCGUGCCAGCAGCCGCGGUAAUACGGAGGGUGCGAGCGUUAAUCGGAAUUACUGGGCGUAAAGCGCGCGUAGGUGGCUUGAUAAGCCGGUUGUGAAAGCCACGGGCUCAACCUGGGAACGGCAUCCGGAACUGUCAAGCUAGAGUGCAGGAGAGGAAGGUAGAAUUCCCGGUGUAGCGGUGAAAUGCGUAGAGAUCGGGAGGAAUACCAGUGGCGAAGGCGGCCUUCUGGACUGACACUGACACUGAGGUGCGAAAGCGUGGGUAGCAAACAGGAUUAGAUACCCCUGUAGUC